CCUACGGGAUGCAGCAGUGAGGAAUAUUGGUCAAUGGACGAGAGUCUGAACCAGCCAAGUAGCGUGAAGGAUGACUGCCCUAUGGGUUGUCAACUUCUUUUAUAUGGGAAUAAAAUGUUCCACGUGUGGGAUUUUUUAUGUACCAUAUGAAUACGGAUCGGCUAACUCCGUGCCAGCAGCCGCGGUAAUACGGAGGAUCCGCGCGUUCUCCGGAUUUAUUGGGUUUAAAGGGCGCGUAGGUGGAUUGUUAAGUCAGUUGUGAAAGUUUGCGGCUCAACCGUAAAAUUGCAGUUGAAACUGGCAGUCUUGAGUACAGUAGAGGUGAGCGGAAUUCGUGGUGUAGCGGUGAAAUGCUUAGAGAUCACGAAGAACUCCGAUUGCGAAGGCAGUUCACUGGACUGCAACUGACACUGAGGCUCGAAAGUGUGGGUAUCAAACAGGAUUAGAUACCCCGGUAGUC
This 460-nucleotide ribosomal RNA is filed under the name uncultured bacterium. RNAcentral's name for it is "partial 16S ribosomal RNA". It matches the Rfam family "Bacterial small subunit ribosomal RNA", at positions 338 to 795 of the family's 1533-position model. The record is from RNAcentral.